Molecule: transfer RNA, 92 nt
Organism: Rhodotorula sp. JG-1b
Lineage: Eukaryota; Fungi; Basidiomycota; Microbotryomycetes; Sporidiobolales; Sporidiobolaceae
Rfam family: tRNA
About the family: Transfer RNA (tRNA) molecules are approximately 80 nucleotides in length. Their secondary structure includes four short double-helical elements and three loops (D, anti-codon, and T loops). Further hydrogen bonds mediate the characteristic L-shaped molecular structure. tRNAs have two regions of fundamental functional importance: the anti-codon, which is responsible for specific mRNA codon recognition, and the 3' end, to which the tRNAs corresponding amino acid is attached (by aminoacyl-tRNA synthetases). tRNAs cope with the degeneracy of the genetic code in two manners: having more than one tRNA (with a specific anti-codon) for a particular amino acid; and 'wobble' base-pairing, i.e. permitting non-standard base-pairing at the 3rd anti-codon position.
Source: Rfam
GGUGUUUUGGCCGAGCGGUCUAAGGCGCUAGCUUAAGGUUCUCUGUAACCCGCUAGUCCGAAAGGGCGUGAGUUCGAAUCUCACAGACAUCA